This 478-nucleotide ribosomal RNA is filed under the name uncultured bacterium. RNAcentral's name for it is "partial 16S ribosomal RNA". It matches the Rfam family "Bacterial small subunit ribosomal RNA", at positions 355 to 825 of the family's 1533-position model. The record is from RNAcentral.
UAGGGAAUCUUCGGCAAUGGACGAAAGUCUGACCGAGCAACGCCGCGUGAGUGAAGAAGGUUUUCGGAUCGUAAAACUCUGUUGUUAGAGAAGAACGUUGCAUAGAGUGGAAAAUUAUGCAAGUGACGGUAUCUAACCAGAAAGGGACGGCUAACUACGUGCCAGCAGCCGCGGUAAUACGUAGGUCCCGAGCGUUGUCCGGAUUUAUUGGGCGUAAAGCGAGCGCAGGUGGUUUAAUAAGUCUGAUGUAAAAGGCAGUGGCUCAACCAUUGUGUGCAUUGGAAACUGUUAGACUUGAGUGCAGUAGAGGAGAGUGGAAUUCCAUGUGUAGCGGUGAAAUGCGUAGAUAUAUGGAGGAACACCGGUGGCGAAAGCGGCUCUCUGGACUGUCACUGACACUGAGGCUCGAAAGCGUGGGUAGCAAACAGGAUUAGAUACCCUGGUAGUCCACGCCGUAAACGAUGAGUGCUAGUUGUUU